GGGAUGAUACAUGGGGCCUAAGCCCAAUAAAUAAAGUCCACAAAACCAACCCAAGAAGAAGGAUAAAGAAGUCAUUUACAUAAAGGGAAGGGGGUGAGUUUAGUAAAGAAGGGGGAUGCAUCAUGAAAACACAUGUCAACUUCAACACGCUGCAACUUCAUUCUUUUCAUAUUGUAAAUGUGAUGCAUUUGCUUUCUUCUUGAAGGCCAACACAUGCUGCACAUG
This 225-nucleotide long non-coding RNA is filed under the name Vigna radiata. RNAcentral's name for it is "long non-coding RNA (VRAD_LNC002907)". Lineage: Eukaryota; Viridiplantae; Streptophyta; Magnoliopsida; Fabales; Fabaceae. The record is from RNAcentral.